GUGUGGUGUCGUUAAACAGAACAAACAAACUUUUUAAAAGCAUAUGCUGGCAUUAAAUCCCCCACUCAAGGUAUGGUUUAUACACUCAUGAACAUGUUAGUAAUUAUGAACUGGCCCCCAACACACAUAGUAAUUUAACAUAUUAAGCCAUUUAAGAGAAUAUUAAUUAUCCUAUCUGUUUAACCAAGCUGGCCAGUUACCCAUGUCUGACUAGUUUUAUUUCAGCAGCUGAGUGAGUUGUCUGCAGUUUGCCAUUGAUCACCAAAUGUUAACAAGGUGGCUCUGCUCUGUGUAAACAUCGGAGCCAGAUUGUGAAGGGAAACAAGUGUUUAUAACAUGGAGAACAGUGCAUGGAGGUCUCAAUAAACAUCACCACACAAUACAGCCUGGGGCUCUCAAUGCUGGGAAACAGGCGGAUGUGCUAGAUUAGUACUAGAUAUCAUUGGUCACAGAUAAACUACCUAGAAACACAGUCUGAUGAAUGUUAUGGUACAGAUCCAUAAAAACAAGAGCUACAUGUAGUGGUAUUUGUGAGUUGGUUGCAGUUGGAAGUGAGAAACGGAUAUUGUUAGAGUGACUCACUAUGUGUGCCAGUGACCUCAUUUAUCCACACCACAGGAAGAAGAAUGGAAAGAAACAGAAACAAGCAAAUAAGAUGACAUAGUGCAAACCAGACGCCAACAAGGAUCACAUUUAAAUGUCUGAUGUCUGAAAAUGUCUGACUGCAACUGUGACGGAUGUGACUGUGACUGUGAUGGGUGCUGUAACUGCUGUGAUUCGCCCGACAGCGCUUUGCCGUGCGCACUGUGUUGUAACCUGUGUCUGUCAGGAACUAUGGUGGACGCAGCGGAAACUGUCGAAUACGCAGCAGCAGCUAGUCGAACGACACACAAAAACCACAAACACCUGAAGUAUUCUCACAAUGAAAAUGGAUCUGCAGUGAUAACGCCAGUAACACCUAACGACAAAGAUGAGCAACAACCGAUGCCAGUGUUAAUUCAGCCUCAGAGUCAAACAAGCAUGGAAACAGCAUGGGAUGGUGUUGAAAAAACUACAAGUUCUCCUGUUUGUAACUCAGACAUAGAACUGACAGUUGUGGACAACAAGUCUGCAGCUAAUACUAAUACCAUCACGUAGGAGCGUGGACAUUGGAUUUGGAGAUUGUCAUUUUGUGAAGAUUCUGCCUGAAUUUAUUCUGCCUGAAUUAUGAAAAUGCUGUACACAGAGUGUAUAUAUUUUUUAGGAUUCCAUCUUAUAAUCUUAAGUUUUCUGACUUAAAAAGUCUGGAAUUUUCAGAAACACACAAGCCUGUUAAAUUAAAAUUCGCAGUCUGAUGUGUGAAGAAGUAAUUCAGUGUUAGAUUAUUUACAAAAAUGUGCCAUAUAACAUAGACGAAAGUGUAAAAUAUUGGAGGUGAAGUUCAAAUAUUCAAAUAUAAAGAUGAAGAAUGUUUAUUCACAGUUUUAAGGUGUUGGACAAGGGAAGUGUAAUAUACUGGAGGCAGAUCAGAAAUAUGUGUAUAAAAAAAGAAAGAAAUGUUUUAACGACUUCUCAAAUCAUAUUACUGAUUCAAUAGCUAUUACACAAACAUAUACCAGUACUUGUGUGUGAUAAAUGCAAUUCCAACAAAUGGCCCAAAAUAUCACAGAUUGGAAAGAGAAAUAUGCGUAACCUAAUAGGUCCACUUAGUUUAACUGUCCUGUGGUCAUUUAACUUAAUGUGUUCACUUAGUCUAAUAACGGUGGUACCAGAGGGUAACGACGGAUAAAAUUGCACUGCUGUUUAAAAUUUAUCAAAGUACAUGAAAUGCAGUGUUCAAUUUCAAAAGAUUUCAAACCUAUAACCACCUAGUAGUAGUAGGGGCACCUGAGGUAUUUUUUAAAUUAUUAUUACGCAUCCUCAAGUUAUUUUCUGGUAGAAAUUAAAAUGGAGAUGGCGCAGCCUACCAGACUCCUGCAAACGACUUUAGUAUUCAGAGUGGCAACUGUUCUUGUUAAACUGUCAGACAAUCCCAAAUAAAAAAUCAUUGAGCUAUACUAAUAGUUUGUGGCACGAGUCCUCUUGUUGAUGGCUUUUCUGAAAUGAGUCUCAAGAAAAUCAAUAGUUGCAGCAAGCUUUAGCGAGCUCCAAGGAUUGAUUUUCUUCAGACAAGUGUCGAAAAAAAAACCUCUACAAAAGGACGAGUGCCAGAAAUAUUUUCUACUUCAAUUAUACUUAUAAUUUUAGUAUAAUUAUUAAAGUAAAUGCACUCUAUUUUUGUACUGUGAUGUCACGACGCUGCUCACAGCUGAUGUAUAUUACGUCGCUAGAAGGAAUGCAUGCGGUGUUACACAUUACGUCAAGUCAUGUGCUACCCUUGAUUAUGGAAUGACAUAACGAAAAGGUAGCAACGGCAUCUACCUCCUAAACAACGAGACCUAUUGAUGAAUGAAAAGGGUGGAUUACUGAGUAGGGGAGGUGUGUUAGACAGUUUAUCUAGCACGUCUUUCUGGCACCUUUCUACUGGUUGAUUGAACUAGAAAUGUACAUCCUGCUCUCCAAGCUAACCAAGCAGGUCAGAGCCAAUUAUGUUGGGGGUUUUGUAUGUUUGUAAUUUGUUGUUUCAGGUGCAUGUGCAGGAUAUUUUAGGGGGGGGGGGGGGGGGGGGGGUCUAGACUGUGGCAAGCAAAGUUUAUGGGGCAGCGGGGAAUUGAUACAUCCAUGCUCCCCCCCAAAAAUGUAUUCAAUUUAGUUUUUUUGCCUGUGUUUGUUGUUGUUGUUGUUUAUUUUUCUUACAAUUUUUGGUUUAUUAUUACAUAAUAUACAUGUAGCUAUGAUGAGGUCAUCUUCUGGUGUAAGAACAAUUAACCUGGAGGUGAACUGAUUGGAAUUGUGAUGAAAAGAUUGAAUUUGGUACCCAAGCAUUUGACAUUAACCACAGACAAAAACUGACAGUAAAUAUAUUGUCAUGAAUGCUACCUCCAUCGCAUAACAAAUUUACAUGUAGUUGUAUCUGAAAACUGUGUGUGUUAUGUUACAAUGUACCUCGAUUGUUAUCCAUAUAAAAAUGUUACUGCAGUGCUAAUCUUGUGUAUGUUUAUUAUAGAAGUGUCCAUGUAUGUUUAUCAUUUAUGCUUUUUGUAAAUAUUAAAUAAUUCUGUAAACUUA
Long non-coding RNA from Gigantopelta aegis, 3147 nucleotides. RefSeq lists it as uncharacterized. The transcript is spliced from 2 exons. NCBI's taxonomy places the organism in Eukaryota, Metazoa, Mollusca, Gastropoda, Neomphalida, Peltospiridae. The record is from RefSeq and is a predicted model, not a curated record.